AUGCAUGGUCACUUUGAGAAACUCUAUGAAGACCGGGCUACAUGGGUGCCGUGUUACUUGAAAUUCAGGUUCUUCCCUUUCCUUCAGUCAACGCAACGCAGCGAAGGGUUCAAUGUUGUGUUGAAGCGCUAUGUGAACCCACACAAGUCAAUUCUUAACUUCGUCAAGCAAUAUGAGAAGAUUCAGACAUACUCAUACGUUGGAGACGUAUCAGGAGGGCGGGAACAACUACCGGACAGAGCAUCUAGAAGCACAAAGAUGGUCGCGUUUCCCCAUUGA
This 279-nucleotide ribosomal RNA is filed under the name Triticum aestivum (bread wheat). RNAcentral's name for it is "partial small subunit ribosomal RNA". The record is from RNAcentral. Lineage: Eukaryota; Viridiplantae; Streptophyta; Magnoliopsida; Poales; Poaceae.